Molecule: long non-coding RNA, 1223 nt
Filed under: Macaca fascicularis (crab-eating macaque)
Lineage: Eukaryota; Metazoa; Chordata; Mammalia; Primates; Cercopithecidae
Description: lncRNA (ENSMFAG00000047486.1)
Source: RNAcentral
AUCAUUUAAACAUUUAUUUAAUAUAGGUUAAAAAUGUAAUACAUAAAAGAUAAAAAAUGAACACUAAAAUGUCAAACAGAAGAAAACCCUUUACAUUUUAUUUUGGUCAACAAAAAGUCUGUGCAUAACUCAGCAGCAGGCCUGAAUUAUAUUAAACCAAAGCUGCAUUGUGAUGGCCACCAAUGUACAGACUGCCUGUCUGGCUUAGCACAUUAAAAGUCUAAUCAAGGCUCAAACCAACAUCCUUAGAAAUUCCAUAUAUAUAUAUGAAAAAUACUUUCUUUCUCAGUUAAAUGGGAUAAAUCUUAAAGUUGGAAAACUAUUAAAAACAAUAAAAAUUUAAAACUGUAAUUUUGCUAAGGGUAUAGAGUAAAUAACAACAACAACAACAACAAAAAUGACAAACCAGAAACACUAAAAUGUGUUUGCAUGUGAAAGAAUCAUCAUGUUGAUUUACAUCAAAGAACAUCAUAUUUGUUUAUCUUAAUGCUUGGCAUAGUUAGGUUUUAAGGUUUUAAAAAUAUUUUUGAAUUUAUUAUUAAACGAUAGGAACAUACUGUACAGAAUAUUUCAAAAUUGCUAUCAAGAAAACGAGUACAAAUUUUACCUAGCAAUAUAGAUUUCUUAUCAACAUACCUUUUUUCCUCACUGGUAUCAAACUGACAAAGGUGUACGGAGAAAGUAAUUGAAUGGUUUCUGAAGGACACACUAGCCCUUUAGCCAAGAGUUCUGCUUCUGAAUUACAUAGAACAUCUUGGUCCACAGACAACGGAAUGGAUUUUUGGAGAGAGUGUCAAUUUAGGGCUAAAGAAAUACAGGGUGAGAAUGAAGCCCUCAACAAAAGCUCCAAAAGGGCACAGACACUGGUAAAUGACCUAAAUAUGGAGAGAGAGGUGAGGAGAAAAUACAUAGUAAAUGCUGGCUUGUUAUUGCAUUUUCUUCUCUCCCUUCUCUGAUCCAUUUAUCUUCUUAAGACUGCCUUCUGUGUCCUUUUGCAGGGAAAUUAUCUUACCCUUUAACAUUUGUUUCUUCACUAUUUUAACAAAAAGCCUAUAAGAAAAAUAAUAAAUUCAAGGGUAUUACUAAAAGCCUGAAUAAGAAUAAUAACAAGCCCUAUGCUCCAAUCAGUAAACUCGUUUCUUGGAAUAAAAUCUUCAUUUGUGGAAGUGGAAUGGUGUCUCUUAGUAGACAGUGUUCAUUUAGGGUGUGAUACUCUUACUUUU